RNAcentral lists this long non-coding RNA (239 nucleotides) under Ricinus communis (castor bean). RNAcentral's name for it is "long non-coding RNA (RCOM_LNC000324)". The record is from RNAcentral. Lineage: Eukaryota; Viridiplantae; Streptophyta; Magnoliopsida; Malpighiales; Euphorbiaceae.
AAAGAAAUCCCAAUGGAUUUAACCGAUAUAGCUACACAUGUUCAUGUUUAAAACAACUAGGAAAUCAAUUAUAAUGAAAGAAUAAUGAAAAUGAAACAUGUACACCCUUUUCUCUCGAAUUGGAUGAACAGCUCCACAUCUGAAUCUACACUACGAUUGAUCUCCCUAAUUGCCUCUUAAUUUUCUCUACUACUGCUUUGCACUUGGAGUCUUGCGAUUUUAGGGUUCUUCCUCUCUGC